GUCGAGGGGCAGCAUGACGAUUGCUUGCAAUUGUUGAUGGCGACCGGCGCACGGGUGAGUAACGCGUAUCCAACCUUCCCCUUAGUAGGGCAUAGCCCGGCGAAAGUCGGAUUAAUACCCUAUGUUUUCCAAUGAGGACAUCUGAGCUGGAACAAAGAUUUAUCGCUAAGGGAUGGGGAUGCGUCUGAUUAGCUUGUUGGCGGGGUAACGGCCCACCAAGGCAACGAUCAGUAGGGGUUCUGAGAGGAAGGUCCCCCACAUUGGUACUGAGCCAGGAUCAAACUC
This 285-nucleotide ribosomal RNA is filed under the name uncultured Prevotella sp. RNAcentral's name for it is "partial 16S ribosomal RNA". It matches the Rfam family "Bacterial small subunit ribosomal RNA", at positions 61 to 338 of the family's 1533-position model. The record is from RNAcentral. Lineage: Bacteria; Pseudomonadati; Bacteroidota; Bacteroidia; Bacteroidales; Prevotellaceae.